Callithrix jacchus (white-tufted-ear marmoset) is the source of this 5842-nucleotide non-coding RNA. The record is from RefSeq and is a predicted model, not a curated record. NCBI's taxonomy places the organism in Eukaryota, Metazoa, Chordata, Mammalia, Primates, Cebidae.
GGCAGCUACAAGCAGAGGUCCCAGCUCAGCCCCUGCCCUCGCCCUGGGGGCGCCCCACGGUGCCAGGUAACACGGGCCAAAGACACAGAGGCAUCUGGCCAAGGACUAGGUUCCAGCUCUGGAAAGAGCACGGGAGCCAGAGGCCAAAGUCUUCUGCUCGGGCCAUGCACAGGCUCACCCCAGCCUCAUGGGCCUGACAGGGGCUCAGCAGCUAAGAGGGGGAGGACUGGAGACUCAGGUGUCCAUGGGAGCCCCUGACAGGCCAAAAGAGUGGGAAUCAGGGGAGGGCACCCACCCCCUGCCACUGUCAGGUCACAUGGCAGGUGUCUGCAGAGGCAAAGGUGGUUACCUGCUUCGUGUGUGGUCUCUGGAACCAUUGCAGUGGAGGUAAAGGAAGCGCUGACCUUCCCUGUGGAAUAGUGGGCCUGCCAAGGAAACCAGGGUGGCACCUCAGCAGUGCCAUGGGAGGCUGAUGGGCAAAAAUGUGGUGCCUGCCUAGAAGCCAACCACACCCCACCCCUGACCCCCAGGCCCUGCUCAGUGCUUCUCCUCCAGCAGGGCCUCCCUGACUGGCGGGAGGAAGGAGGACAGGCCGAGCCAGGGGCCCCUGGCCUCAACCGGGUCCCGACUCAGGACGUUAAGUAAAACCCUGUAGAUAAAAUACCACACAGGACCUCAGGGUUAGGAGUGUAUGAGUGAGUUCUCAUUUCUUUUUUUUAUGAGAUAAUGUCUUGCUGUGUACCCAGGCUGUAGUGCUGGGGUGUGAUCCUGGCGCACUGCAGCCUCCAAAUCCUGGGCUCAAGUGACCCCCCCCCACACCUCAGCCUCCUGAGUAACUGGGACGACAGGUGUGUGCCACCAUGCCUGGCUGAUUUUUGGGGGUUUUUUGUAGAGGUAAGGUCUCACUAUGUUGUCCAAGCUAGUCUCGAACUCCUGGCCUCAAGCAAUCCUCCUGCAUCAGCCUCCCAAAAUACUGGGAUUGCAGGCCUGAGCCACCAUGCCUGGACUCACUUCUUUACUUAUUUAUUAACUUAUUAAUUUUUGAGACGGAGUUUCACUCUUGUUGCCCAGGCUAGAGUGCAAUGGUGCCAUCUCUGCUCACAGCAACCUCUGCCUCCCAGGUUUAAGCGACUCUCCUGCCUCAGCCUCCAGAGUAGCUGGGAUUACAGACAUGUGCCACCACGCCCUGCUAAUUUUGUAUUUUCCGUAGGGACAGGGUUUCUCCAUGUUGGUCAGGCUGGUCUUAAAACUCCCAACCUCAGGUGACCCACCCACCUCGGCCUCCCAAAGUGCUAGGAUUACAAGCAUGAGCUUGUACCCGGCCUGGCCUAACUUCUUUUUAAAAGUCUCAAACUUUCUGAAGUAAACACAUUACAUAUUUAAUCAGGGGUGGGGGGGUAAAGUCCCAAUAAAUGUUGUUUUUUUAUCACAGAGGAAGAAAAAGGGGUUUCUUUCAUCAGAAGAAAAUAUAAGCCAGGCACAGUGGCUCACAUCUAUAAUCCCAGCGCUUUGGGAGGCCCAGGCAGGAGGAUCUCAGGUGAAGCUGGAAUUCAAGACCAGCUAGGCAACACAGCCAGAUCCUGUCUCGGAAAAAAAAAAAAAAGAAUUUGAACAAUGCUUUAAGGAGAACUUCAGAGCCACCUGCCCAUGUCUCUGCACUCACUAGCUCCAGAUCCCCACACUCUGCCUGAACAGGAGCAAGAGGCAAACAUGACAGCCCCAUUCAGGAAGCACUGUGAGGUCCCAGGCAUGCCGUCCCCCUCAGGACCGCAGCAGUCCCUGAAAUGCACCAACUGUCCCUGGAAUGGCUUUGGGCCCCAGUGCACAUUGGGCCCUGCCCUCCCAGCCACCACAGAACCACAUGUCCACUCAACGUGCCUGCUCUGGCUGCUGAGCUCAGACUGGGACCACAGCACAAGGCAGACCUUCUGUGACGGGGGUCUCCUCCCGUGUGCCCCCACACACCCCUUGGUUCUUCAAUGCCCAGUAUGGCCGUCAGCCUCUCCCCUUCCGCCUUCUCAGAUUCAAUCUUCCUUGGGGCAGCCCCGGGGCUGUACGCUCAGUGCCAUCAGGGGUACCACAGCUCUGGGGGGAUCCUGGCUGCCUCCCUGCCAUUUACCCCAGGGCCCCAUGAGCCCCGUUCCCAGGACCACUCCAAGAGGCCAUGAGACGAGCAGGGAGACAAGGGAUUGGCCGAGUGCCCUGUGCCACUCACAGCAUUCAACUUGUCCACUUUCUUCUUCUCUGGGACCUUCAUGGUGGCUGCCAGAAUCUCAUCCCCUUUGAACUCCUUAUAGAGCUCCUGCAGGGUCUCUCGGGUCUCGGCAUUUGUGUUUUUCAGAUAAUAAGAUGGGUCCUGUUUGGCCUUCUCCUCAUCUACAAAACAGUGGCAUGGCCCUGAGCAGCCGAGCCCUCAGCAGCCUCCCAACAUGCGUCUGCUGCGGACACAGAUCCAGAACAGUCCAGGGCUUGCCAGCCACAGCAUAGGCCCCAAGCUACUGUCAGCCACAGAAUGCCAAGGUGCCAGCUACAGGUCUGAGGGUCUCCCCACACAGGUCACAAGGGUCUCAGGAUGUACUUAAGGCUGAUUUAAAGUUUCCUUUUUAUAUUUAUCUGUAUAUUCUAAUAUUUUUAGAGUAUAUGCUUCGCUUUUUUUGUUUUUUGAGACAGGGUCUGGCUCUGUUGCCCUGGCUGGAAUGCAGUUACACGAUCUCAGCUCACUGCGGCCUCCAUCUCCUGGGCUCAAGUGAUUCCCCUGCCUCAGCCCCCCACCAAGUAGCUGAGGCUACAGGCCUGUGCCAACCACACCCAGCUACUUUUUCUAUUUUUUGUAGAGACAGAGUUUCCCUAUGUUGCCCAGGCUGGUCUCAAAAUCUUGAGCUCAAGCAAUCCACCAGCUUUGGCCUCCCAAAGUGCUGGGAUUACAGGCCUGAGCCAUAGUGCCCAGCUGCUUUGCUUCUGUAAUUUUUUUUUUUUUUUUUUUAGACGGAGUUUCUCUCUUGUUACCCAGGCUGGAGUGCAAUGGCACGAUCUCGGUUCACCACAACCUCUGCCUCCUGGGUUCAGGCAAUUCUCCUGCCUCAGCCUCCUGAGUAGCUGGGAUUACAGGCACAUACCACCAUGCCCAGCUAAUUUUUUUUAUUUUUAGUAGAGACGGGGUUUCACCAUGUUGACCAGGAUGGUCUCGAUCUCUUGACCUCGUGAUCCACCCGCCUCGGCCUCCCAAAGUUCUGGGAUUACAGGCUUGAGCCACCGCGCCCGGCCCUGUAAUUUUAAAAGUUAUUUUGGGGCCGGGCACAGUGGCUCAUGCCAGUAUUCCCAGCACUUUGGGAGGUUGAGGCAGGUGGAUCACCAGGUCAGGAGAUCUAAACCAGCAUGGCUAACACAGUGAAACCCUGUCUCUACUAAAAAUACAAAAAAAGAGCCAGGUCUGGUGGCAUCUGCCUGUAGUCCCAGCUACUUGGGAGGGUAAGGCAGGAGAAUCAUUUGAACCCGGGAGGCAGAGGUUGCAGUGUGCCAAGAUUGCACCACUGCACUCCAGCCUGGGCUACAGAGCAAGACUCCGUCUCAAAAAUAAAAGGUAUUUUUAAUUAAAACAACAGAAAUGUUUGUGGGUCUUUUCAGAUGUGAAAUGCCCCAUUCUUGCCCACUCAAGAGGGUGCCUCCUGCCUACUGGGCCUUGGACAGCAGCCUGCUCUGUGGAGAGGGUCAGGCAUUCCUGUCCAGAGAAUACAGGCCCAGCCCAGCCCCAAACCCUGGCCUCAGACUCUUCUGACUCAAUCUCCCCCAGUCAUGUGCUCAGCCUCCCUAAAACCCAGUUCACACAACUCUUGUCAAGUACCCAGGCCACUGCUCUGCAGCACGAGGCCAAGUGACCUCUGAGCAUGAGUCCUGCUGGCUCCUCCGAGGUUACAGGACAGCCACCAGUGGCUAGGAAAACAGGAGGACCCUGUCACCCCACCACCUGCCCACUGAAGGCACCAGACAGUGCAGAAAGCAGGGGAACCUGCGCAGGCAUCCUGGCAGGGCAGCAAGUCUAUCCCACAUGUUGUUUCUGAGGCUGCAGUUGACUCGGAUUCUCUGAACACUGGCUUAGAAAAUGCAGGAUUUAUCUGGGCUGGAACCCCUGACUCCCAGGAAGCUGGGGGCUUUGCCCAGGGAACACUGUCCCAAUUUCCCCCAAAUGCCUCCUCACCUAGCCCAGCCCCUGGUUGUACAUACCUGGGUCUAUUAUUUUCAUGUUAUUCUUAACAUGAUAGAAGUUAGAGACAUUGAACUUGUCCAAGUUGGUGGGGUCCUGUGGCAAAGAGAGAACACCCAGCAGAGUGAACCCAGCCUGCGGCCAAAUGGCAGCCACAUGUAGCAAAGGACGGGCAGGUGUCAGAGGUAGGGGGAGUCAAGCAGGGCAUGGGGGAGGAUGGUGGUCUGCCCCAGGCAGGGCAAUAAGCAGGAGCAGGGACAGGGGCAUAGCCUUGCUAGGUGCUGGCCGAGCUGCGACCUUCCUCCAGGCACACUCUAACGAGCUGUUGGUCACUGUUAGGAAGCUACUGGAUAGGAACAUGGGCAGCCAUGGGGCUGACGUCUGGUUAGAAUGGGACAAGCCACAGAGGUGACCGACUGAGCAGGCUGCCCCAGGCCGCACUCUAGCCAUCACCUGCUUUUUUCUAAGUCGUGUUUUUCAUUAAUUCACUUGGGGUUCUCUGAUAUCUGCAGGGAGGUCUGUGCCAGACACCGAGGCCCAUAGCUCACCACGGUUCCAGCCCUCAAGGCACUGGAACAGAACCAGGCCAGCAGAAUGGCCAUUCAGAUGCCUCAGCCAGGAAGAAGUGGUGUUACGAUGCAUGCCCCAAGCCUUGGCACAGGAGCCUGCGAGCAGGGAGGCCCAGAACUGGCACCAUGACACCAUUUGAGAGGCGAGGAACGAGAGAGACAGCAGUGUUCACCCCACUGAUUGAAAGCAGUGGCCCCCACAAAGGCGGAGCUGGCUGGGCAUCAGACGAUGUGCCAGUUCAGCCUUGCAGCAACCUUCCUGCAGGAAGCUCUUGUCUACAUAUUGAUCAGCAAAGUGGCUGGGCGAGCCACCCACCCACUCGCUGAAGCCUUCACUGACUACUUCCCAUGCACAGGCAUGGUGCCAGGCCUGUGGGCAGGGGCUGUGCACAUGAGAUGCCUGCACUCCUGGGGCCCAGUAUAGCAGAGUCCUCAAUCCACUACGAGGACCAACCAUGCCAGUCUAUGUAGGCUUCUGGCAAGAAGUAGCCCCUAAGGUCCCUGGAGCAGCGCUGGCCACCUAUACUCCACCAAUGUCCUGGUGCAGGACUGAAAAUGGCACAAAGGUCGGGGCUUUCCUGCCACAUAGGGCCUGUCCCGCCUCACCCCUGAGAGGAGGACCCAUGUGUGAACAUGGCUGCCUCCUCUCUUCCUACACCCACUCCCAGACAGAACUCCUCCAGGGGACAGCUCCUUCCUGGACACAACUGGCUCCAUCGAGAGCCAGGGCCAGCACUCCUCUCACACCGUUCUCAGAGCACGGUGCCUUCCCAGCACCUAGGUUUUGCUGAAGAUGCAGAAGGACCCCCUGCGAGAUAAGGGUCCCUGCUUGCCAGCCAGGACUGCCUGAUUCCAAAGGAUGCAGCUCCCCCAACCCUAUUCUUGACCUGCCUGAAAUCGGGGAGGCUGUCAUGCCAGAGCUUUGGCAGAGGCCGGUGCCUGUGGCUGUGACUGUAAACCCCACAAAGACAGGCCAUGCCCGCAGCACAGCCCAGCCCAUGUAUCCUGGGAACACACAGCAGAGAUCUCCCCACCGUGGUCUCCAGGCCCUGGAGCAAGGACACACCUCGUA